UACGGAAGGCAGCAGUGGGGAAUAUUGCACAAUGGGCGCAAGCCUGAUGCAGCCAUGCCGCGUGUAUGAAGAAGGCCUUCGGGUUGUAAAGUACUUUCAGUCGUGAGGAAGGUGUUAAGGUUAAUAACCUUAGCAAUUGACGUUAGCGACAGAAGAAGCACCGGCUAACUCCGUGCCAGCAGCCGCGGUAAUACGGAGGGUGCGAGCGUUAAUCGGAAUUACUGGGCGUAAAGGGCACGCAGGCGGUUAAUUAAGUUGGAUGUGAAAUCCCCGGGCUUAACCUGGGAAUGGCAUUCAAGACUGGUUAGCUAGAGUCUUGUAGAGGGGGUAGAAUUCCAUGUGUAGCGGUGAAAUGCGUAGAGAUGUGGAGGAAUACCGGUGGCGAAGGCGGCCCCUGGACAAAGACUGACGCUCAUGUGCGAAAGCGUGGGGAGCGAAAACAGGAUUAGAUACC
Molecule: ribosomal RNA, 454 nt
Filed under: uncultured bacterium
Lineage: Bacteria
Description: bacterial SSU rRNA
Rfam family: Bacterial small subunit ribosomal RNA
Source: RNAcentral